Molecule: ribosomal RNA, 372 nt
Filed under: uncultured organism
Description: partial 16S ribosomal RNA
Rfam family: Bacterial small subunit ribosomal RNA
Source: RNAcentral
GUAGGUGGCAAGCGUUGUCCGGAAUUAUUGGGCGUAAAGCGCGCGCAGGUGGGUCUUUAAGUCUGAUGUGAAAGCCCCCGGGCUCAACCGGGGAGGGUCAUUGGAAACUGGGGAACUUGAGUGCAGGAGAGGAAAGUGGAAUUCCACGUGUAGCGGUGAAAUGCGUAGAUAUGUGGAGGAACACCAGUGGCGAAGGCGACUUUCUGGCCUGUAACUGACACUGAGGCGCGAAAGCGUGGGGAGCAAACAGGAUUGGAUACCCUGGUAGUCCACGCCGUAAACGAUGAGUGCUAAGUGUUGGGGGGUUUCCGCCCCUCAGUGCUGCAGCUAACGCAUUAAGCACUCCGCCUGGGGAGUACGGUCGCAAGACUG